RNAcentral lists this ribosomal RNA (253 nucleotides) under uncultured bacterium. RNAcentral's name for it is "partial 16S ribosomal RNA". It matches the Rfam family "Bacterial small subunit ribosomal RNA", at positions 524 to 776 of the family's 1533-position model. The record is from RNAcentral.
UACGUAGGGGGCUAGCGUUGUCCGGAAUCAUUGGGCGUAAAGAGCGCGUAGGCGGCCAGACAAGUCCGGUGUGAAAGUCACAGGCUCAACCUGUGAAUGCCGCUGGAAACUGUCUGGCUAGAGUCCGGAAGGGGCGAGUGGAAUUCCUGGUGUAGCGGUGAAAUGCGCAGAUAUCAGGAGGAACACCUAUGGCGAAGGCAGCUCGCUGGGACGUUACUGACGCUGAGACGCGAAAGCGUGGGGAGCAAACAGG